RNAcentral lists this ribosomal RNA (449 nucleotides) under uncultured bacterium. RNAcentral's name for it is "partial 16S ribosomal RNA". It matches the Rfam family "Bacterial small subunit ribosomal RNA", at positions 29 to 523 of the family's 1533-position model. The record is from RNAcentral.
AACGAACGCUGGCGGCAUGCCUAAUACAUGCAAGUCGAACGAUCACUUCGGUGGUAGUGGCGCACGGGUGCGUAACGCGUGGGAAUCUGCCCCCGGGUUCGGAAUAACGUCGGGAAACUGACGCUAAUACCGGAUGAUGACGUAAGUCCAAAGACUUAUCGCCCAGGGAUGAGCCCGCGGAGGAUUAGCUAGUUGGUGGGGUAAAGACCUACCAAGGCGACGAUCCUUAGCUGGUCUGAGAGGAUGAUCAGCCCCACUGGGACUGAGACACGGCCCAGACUCCCACGGGAGGCAGCAGUAGGCAAUAUUGGACAAUGGGGGCAACCCUGAUCCAGCAAAGCCGCGUGAGUGAUGAAGGCCAUAGGGUUGUAAAGCUCUUUUACCCUGGAUGAUAAUGACAGUACCGGGAGAAUAAGCCCCGGCUAACUCCGUGCCAGCAGCCGCAGUAA